RNAcentral lists this transfer RNA (76 nucleotides) under Desulfitispora alkaliphila. Its description in RNAcentral is "tRNA-Ala". It matches the Rfam family "tRNA". From Rfam's summary of the family: Transfer RNA (tRNA) molecules are approximately 80 nucleotides in length. Their secondary structure includes four short double-helical elements and three loops (D, anti-codon, and T loops). Further hydrogen bonds mediate the characteristic L-shaped molecular structure. tRNAs have two regions of fundamental functional importance: the anti-codon, which is responsible for specific mRNA codon recognition, and the 3' end, to which the tRNAs corresponding amino acid is attached (by aminoacyl-tRNA synthetases). tRNAs cope with the degeneracy of the genetic code in two manners: having more than one tRNA (with a specific anti-codon) for a particular amino acid; and 'wobble' base-pairing, i.e. permitting non-standard base-pairing at the 3rd anti-codon position. The record is from RNAcentral. Lineage: Bacteria; Bacillati; Bacillota; Desulfitisporia; Desulfitisporales; Desulfitisporaceae. RNAcentral also lists the same sequence under 10 other names.
GGGGGUGUAGCUCAGUUGGGAGAGCACCUGCCUUGCAAGCAGGGGGUCAGCGGUUCGAAUCCGCUCAUCUCCACCA